This 425-nucleotide ribosomal RNA is filed under the name uncultured bacterium. RNAcentral describes it as "partial 16S ribosomal RNA". It matches the Rfam family "Bacterial small subunit ribosomal RNA", at positions 354 to 796 of the family's 1533-position model. The record is from RNAcentral.
GUGGGGAAUCUUGCGCAAUGGGCGAAAGCCUGACGCCGCCAUGCCGCGUGAAUGAUGAAGGUCUUAGGAUUGUAAAAUUCUUUCACCGGGGACGAUAAUGACGGUACCCGGAGAAGAAGCUCCGGCUAACUUCGUGCCAGCAGCCGCGGUAAUACGAAGGGGGCUAUCGUUGCUCGGAAUUACUGGGCGUAAAGGGCGCGUAGGCGGACAGCUUAGUCAGAGGUGAAAGCCCAGGGCUCAACCUUGGAAUUGCCUUUGAUACUGGCUGUCUUGAGUUUGGGAGAGGUGAGUGGAACUCCGAGUGUAGAGGUGAAAUUCGUAGAUAUUCGGAAGAACACCAGUGGCGAAGGCGACUCACUGGCCCAAUACUGACGCUGAGGCGCGAAAGCGUGGGGAGCAAACAGGAUUAGAUACCCUGGUAGUCC